Long non-coding RNA from Orcinus orca (killer whale), 8055 nucleotides. RefSeq lists it as uncharacterized. The transcript has 2 exons. NCBI's taxonomy places the organism in Eukaryota, Metazoa, Chordata, Mammalia, Artiodactyla, Delphinidae. The record is from RefSeq and is a predicted model, not a curated record.
AAAAAAACAUUAGUCAGAGACGAACUCUGUUCUUCGCCAAAACCCAGGAGAGAAGGGAGGUUCAGUAUUUGGAUUUUUCUCCUUUUUCUUCCUGGAAAGAGCUCUUCUCUGGAAACAGCUCAAGACCACUGAUUGUUCUUAAUCCCACCUGUCUUUGAAUCUUUGUGACUUUUAGUCUAAAUAAAGUAAAUGUCCUUGACUUUCAGUUCAGUUUCUAAAUGGGGAAACCAUGUGCAAAGUCCCUCUGCAGGGCUUUUUGGUAUUUUAAACUUUUGUUCUCUCCUAGAUGAUGACAGUUCCUCAGUGAGUCUUGACAAUAAUUUCUAAAUUAGCCUUGUCCGAACUUGUACUCAGUAAUCUCAGGUAUUUAAUUGUGAGUGUCACAGAUUCCUAGAAUUUCCAGUGCAGGUGUCAGAUUAAAAAAGACAGUUUGACAUCCUCGUUGCAUGGGUCAUUUUCGUCAUUUUCCACACCAGGAGUAAAGUAAUCAAUAUUGUCCCCUCAUUGCAGGGCUAGAGUAGUGACUUUGUAAAUGUGACACUUCCAUAUCUGGACUGUGUUGCACGUUCUACCGGCUAUUUAUCUAAUGUGGGACCACAGAGGGUACCAUGCUUAGAAAGCCAUACCGUGGAAGGCAGUGAGAUAAUUCUAUCAAGCAGCGGCAUAGCCGAAGCUAAUACACAGUCCUGGCUGCUGAGAUGUUUAUUUUGCAUAAUUCUUGAAAAGUGAACGGAAACCAUGCUUUUAAAUUGGAUUAAGAGAGAUUGUGUUCUGGGAGAAAUCAGCUGCGCGGUGUUUCAAGGAGAAGAGUUUGGAGCUUAGAGUCAGAUUUGUUGUUGUUCAUCUUCUUACAAAUUGCUUCCCAAAGCUCACGGCUGGUUUUGAAAUCUAUCGGAGCUCUGGAUGGAGUAGGAGAAGAAUGAACCAUGGGAAACAGAGAUUUCUGGGUACCGAUUCCAAAGUUGUUUCACAGUCAGCAUUUUUCAGUGCUUCCCAAAUAUUUAUCCCUUUCCAGGCAUCAGAAUACUCAGGUCUCUACCCCUUUCCCAGUCUGAAUUUCACCUGAGAAUUUAAAUAAGCAGUCCAUAGAUUGCUUGGUGAGCAAAGGAUUCAGAGGCAAGGGAAGUGAGCUGUUUCAGGAGAGGCUGCAUCCAGGCGCGGGAGUGACCUGUUCCUUGUGCCUGAAGACAGCAGCCUGGCUACCUCUUCUGACUCCAUCUGUGUCCAUUGAUUCCCUGCUUGUCUGCAUGGGUUGUGCCCCGUCAGUCUUGUCAAUCCCUGGUUAUUUGGCCUUUCCUCUUUUUCCAAGUUCUGGAUGUAUAUUCACCCACUGGCCAAGCUGUGCACAUGAAAAAGUUUAUUGAGCGCUUGCCUGCCAGGCUUUGGUUCCCAGUCUUUCUCCAAUCAAGGCACCAUACAGUUGAUUUUAUUAAAUCAUAUCCUAGUCCCUGCCUUCUGAGAUUGCCCCAUAUUAAGUUUAACUGGAUUAGAGAUAGUUUCAAACUCAGUUUAGUGAAUGAAAGUUUACUGAGCAUAUACCAUUGAAACUGAAAACAUCCAAUGUCUCUUUCGGAGGUAUUCAAAGGAAACCAGAGCCCGGUGAAGAUGAGUAGAAUGGAAAACUGUUUCCAAUUUCCUAAGUGGCAUUGCUUACUUCAUGGAAUCAGAUAAUUAUGAUUAUUUUAUAUUACGGAAAAAUUUCCAGUCCAUCACAUUUCCCACUGUGAAAAAAAAAAUCAGUGAAUGGUGCAUUUUGGACAAAAUUUGAAACAGAUGAGCUGUUCCUUUUCUGAUCACCCACAUGUAGAGUUGAUGACCAUGGAUAAGAGAAAUCAGUGGCCAACUUCAGAAUACCCCAAAUUAAUGUUCUCAAAUAGAGGAAUACAUAAGGAUCUGAAUUUUUUUCCAGCUUUACUGAGGUAUAAUUGACAAAUAGAAUUGUAAGAUAAAGUGGACAAUGUGCUGAUUUGUCAUGUGCAUACGUUAUGCAAGGAUUCUCCCCAAUGAGUCAGUUAAGGCAUCCACCACCCCCCAUAUUUAAAUUUUUCUUGUGUGUGAGAGAACAUUUAAGUUCUACUCUCUUAGCAAAUUUCAAUUAUAAAACAGUGUCAUCAGCUGUAGUCACUGUACUAUACAUUGGGUUCUCAGAAAUUACUCAUCUUAUAGCUGAAAGUCUGUUCCCUAUUUUCCCCACCCCCACCCCCAGCCCCUGGAAACCACUUUUCUACUCUCUGUUUCUAUGAGUUCAACUUUUUUUUUGAAGAUUCCACAUAUAAGCGAUACCAUGUGGUAUUUGUCUUUCUCUGUCUGGCUUAUUUCGCUUAGCGUAAUGCCUUCUAGGUUCAUCCACGUUAUUGCAAAUGAUAGGAUUUCCUUCCUUUUUCUAAGAAUAUAUAUAUAUAUAAUUCAAUUAUAUAUACAUUACAUUUAUAUAUAUAUAUAUAUAUAUAUAUAUACAUCUCACAUUUACUUAUCCAUUCAUCUAUUGACAUACACUUAUGUUGUUUCCAUCUUUUGGCUAUGUGAAUAAUGCCACUAGGAGCAUAGAAGAACAGAUACCUCUUCGAGAUAAUGAUUUCCUUUCCUUUGGCUAUCUACCCAGAAGUGGAAUUGCCAAAUCAUAUGGUAGUUCUAUGUUUAAUUUAUCCAAUGUGCUUUAGCUACAUAGAAGAUGUCUUUGGCGCCUACCAUGUCUAUAGCCCCUUCUGGGGAGUUCAGAGGAGCAGAGAAAGGCAGCGAGCAGAGCCUCUAGGCAGCGGAAGCCCUGGAUGAGUAGAAGCAAGAGGAAGAGUUGGUUAUUCAGCCAUGGCCUUGGAAAGCCUGGAUCUCCAGAAUGACAGAGCUGUAGCGUGGAGAGCCAAGGGCAAAUCCCACCAAAGGGACUGAUGACGGCAUCUCUAGAAGUGUGUUGCCUUCAGUUUCCCUGCCAGGACUGGAUGCAGUCUGACUGUGCUGCCACUGCGGGUGCCCUCCCCAGCCCAAAUGUCUGAGACCGAGGGCACCUGAGUGGGUCCCACUCCUCACUGAGUAAAAGAGUGAAUUUACCAGCAAGUGUCAGGAGCUUCAGGGGACCAGGGUCCUAGGAGGUUGGCUUGGCCCGUGCUGAGCCCUGUAACGUUGGGGCUUCACUUUCUCAUCAUACGGCAGUUUUUUGAAGAGGGCCCCUCAUCUGUAGGGGCUCCCUGUGCACGAGGCACAAGGUUGAGCACUUUCCAUGCUUGUCUCUUCCUGUAGCUGCAGCAGCCCUGUGCGGCGGAGUCACGGCUGACCUUCCACAGGCGAGGAAGCAGGAAUGGAGGCCCGGGGACUCGCCCAGAGUCAUUCACGAGGGGAGGGAUAGAGCCAGGUUCUGCAUCCAAACACGAUUAAAUACAAAGCCAGUAUCUUUAACCACUGUGUUGGGCUAUUCUAUGGUCUAUUUUUGUCAUUUAUGCUUAUCACGGGUAUUGAUAUAGGAGUCUCCUAGACACCAUGGAUUGAGAGUGUCAAACAUGAAAGCAAAACACUUUGUGUUUUUAAUAGGAUGUCAUCCUUCAUAUAUGAAGAUAAGGCUCUUGACUCUGCGCAUACAGCACACACGUUGAGCUUUCUUUUUUUUUUUCUUAAAAACAGUAGGAGAAUUUUGCUUAUUCACCUGUAUUCUGAGUGGGUUUCACUUGUCUUGUGCCCAACAGCUUACAUGUUGCAACACCUGGCAUUUAAAGAGGAGCUUCCUGAAAUAAAGAACGGGGGUGGGUGGCCUAAGGGGAGAGUAUGGGAAGACUAGAAAGGGGAUUUUCUCUUCGCAUCCAGUGAAUGUGAUAUUUUCUAUUCCAAACAGUAAGUCUAGUUCACUAAUUGAUAGGUCAGGGAAUGACUGGAUAAAGAUGAAAAGAGAGAACCAUUGAGUUGCCCAUAACAGGGCUGUGUGUGUGUGUUAUGUUGUGUUCACCAAGGUAAAAUCUUCCCAGCCAGUUCCCGUGGGUGUUGGGGUCCAGGAAACGUGUGUCAGGAUUAGGGGCAGGCGUCACAGGACUAAAAUGCAUAUGAUUCUCAUGGAAGAAUUAUUGGUUAAUGGAGAUGGAAAUUUGCUUUUAAUUCGACAUUUUUCUUUUCUUCUUUAUACUAAAAACCUUACUUUAUAAUCUUAUUACAAAGGUAACAUGCCUUCAUUUUAUUUCGUUGUUUCUUUUGGCUGCGUUGGGUCUUUUUUUUUUUAAUAUAAAUUUAUUUAUUUAUUUAUAUUUUAUUUUUGUCUGCGUUGGGUCUUCGUUGCUGUGCGUGGGCUUUCUCUAGUUGCGGCGAGCAGGGGCUACUCUUCGUUGUGGUGCCCGGGCUUCUCAUUACGGUGGCUUCUCUUUGUUGCAGAGCACAGGCUCUAGGCGUGCAGGCUUCAGCAGUUGUGGCUCGCGGGCUCUAGAGCGCAGGCUCAGUAGUUGUGGCGCACAGGGUUAGUUGCUCUGCGGCAUGUGGGAUCUUCCCGGACCAGGGCUCGAACCUGUGUCCCCUGCAUUGGCAGGCAGAUUCUUAACCACUAUGCCACCAGGGAAAUCUUGACUUUCAUCCUUGGUCCCUUGAUUGUUCCUGCAAAGCAUGAGAAAUGUCCAAAAAGAUAGAAAGCCCAAAUCUAGAUCUUGCCUUCUCAACACUGGCUGCCCUUGAGGGAGCUGACUUUUCACUGUCCCUGCACCAGGCCCUAUUUGCCAAGGGAAAGCGAAGCUCUGGGUGGACCCCUCUCCUUCCUCCCUUGCAGGCUUUCAUGGUUUCAAAUAUCACCUCUUGACUCCAAAAUCUGGAUUUCCAAUCUCGACAGUCCAUGUAAUCAAUCUUCUACAGAAAAUGCACUGUUCACUUCACUUUUCUCUCUCCUUCUCUCGUGCUAAGACAUCUCUAUUACCAAAUGCCAAGACUGUGACAACAUCCUCUAAACUGGUCUCCCUCACUCUAGGGACUUCUUCUAACCCAUCCUUUAUCCUGGCAUUAGUUUUAAUUUUCUAAAGCAACACUUUGAACGUUGGCCUUUUCCUUGUGCCUCUGUGGUGCCUCUUUGAUGCCUCCAGGGUAAUGUGCUAACACUUGACCCUGGAAAUCAAGAUGCUUUGCAAUCUUGACCUUAUUUACUUGAUCGACUCAUCUUUCUCAUUACCAUCCAGGUACGGCAGCAACGAUCCGCUUUUACUGAAAAUCCUCAAGUUCCCCUGCGUUUCUCAGCCUCUCUUGCUGUUAGACUGGGCCCAGGUGGCUCAGUUCUGCCUGAGGAGAUGUGGGUAGAAAUAAGGUUUGUCGUUUCAAGGCUUGGCCUCGGCAGCCCCUACCUGGCUCUCCAGGUCUCUCUUCGGGUUUCGGGGUGUCUCCAGAGGCCACUUAUUUAGAAGGUUCAGCUGCAAUAUGGUAGCACCUCCACCAGCCUGGGUCCCCGAGUGUCCAUGUGGAGUAGAGCCAAGGUUGGACGUGUAAUAUGAGUAAGAAAUAGGUUUGCUUUUGUGUUAAGGCUUUGAGAUUUUAGGCUUAGGUGGUUAGUAGACCUCUUGAUUCUAAGUUAAGAGGCAGGACCAGUCCUUUUUUCGGCCACGCUGCACAGCUUGUGGGAUCUUGAACUCCCUGACCAGGGAUCGAACCCACGUCCCCUGAAUUGGAAGCAUGAAGUCCUAACUACUGGACCGCCAGGGCAGUCCCUACAGGUGGGAACACUCUUGAGCAGACCAAGAUGUGUGUGCACGUAUGGGGUCAAGGGUGCAUGGGGUGGGGAAAAGCUUCUUACACAGCUAAUAAGUGGCAGGGGUGGGAUUUGAACCCGGGUCUCACUCUACCAUCUGAGAGGCACACUGCUCUCGAGACACUGAAGACUCAAGUCUGCAGGGCUAGCCCACGGAACUACCCAAGUUUCCCGGAAUGUCUCCGGGGCCCUCAUUCAGUUCCCAUGUUGCUGACUCCCUUGCCUCAAUUUACCACCUUGUGCCUGGUUAGGUCUUUCUAGGCUCAGUGGUGGGUGUCACUUCUCCUGGGAAUGUUCCCGAAACUGAAGACAUGAAUCUUUUUCCUCUCACAGAACCCUGGAUAUGUAUCAUAGUAGAGUACUUCCUGUCUGCUAAUUAUCUACUUCCUGUGUUCGCUGAUAAAGUCACUCUGGGCAGCGUGGAGAUCCUACCCCUGUAUUCCCACUGCCUCCUCAAUUUGCCCAUCCUAAACCUUUGACACAUGUUCGUUCAAUGAAUGAAUGAACACGUGUCCGAAUGGCCACAUCUAGAAGAUGCCUCCCUGUUAUUAUGCUGUCUUGCAUUAGAAGAAAGGUGUGCUAAGUGAUUGAGAUUCUUUUUUUUUUUAUCAUGGUUACUUCAAAGGGUGGAAAUUUUCUCCUUUCCGUUACCUCUGGCUAUAACUUAUUGACAACUUCAGCCUAAAAUAGCACGUAGCAGCUUUUCACUGUGCCUGUUUGGGAACUUCCUGACGGCACAUUUCGGAAGGUGAAUGACUUGUAAAUGCCCCUUGCUCCAUGUCUUAAACAGGUGUCUGCUUUCUGCCAUCUUUUACGGUUAUUGAAGGCACUAAAGAUUUUAAACUUGGCCUAUUUGACCUGAAUCUGAAAAUGAUGGCUUUCUCCCCCGGUUCUAAUUCUGACACUUGGAGUGACAGAAGAGGGAGCUCUGAGUUAGGUAAUCGUGGCCCACCUUUGGGGAACCUUCUCCUUGCUCUAGGCCCGGAUGAUGGACGGCUUAGUAACUCUUGAGGAUGGAAACGAAUCUGCAAGGGAGCAAGGAUCCAUCAGUGUUGAGCACCUCGCCAGAGGAUGGUCCUGGGUGUGAGGAGGCGACUGCCAGCGUGGGGAGAGAGACCUCAGAGCCCCCUCCUCCAGAGUAACGCCCACACCUGCCAGGCGGUAGGUCCCCUUGCCAGUGGUGGUGAAGCUGUCCUCACUGGCAUCGCCCAUCCAUAAAAGGACAUUGUGCUGCAGAGGGAGGGUAAGUAGCAGUCUCUUGAGCCCCCUGGUCCACACCCUAAGCCCUUCACCCGUGGAGGGUUUCCUUGGUUGUGCCCAACACAGGGAAAAUGGGCUGGGCCCCCUUGCUUCUCCCCUGUGGCAGAGUGCACGCCCUGAUCUGUGGCUGCCGGAGAGGCUGAUGGAAAGGGAAGGGGAGCCCUCAAACCAGGCGCAAGAUUCAACCGCUCCCAGCUCGUCCUUCUGAAAAGCACCGGAUCCCAGGACCUUGAUGCAUGGCCGAAGGGCCGCAAGAAACUGAGACAGUGAGAACCACAGAAUUCAAGUUAUUCCCUGAAGGACGGAGCCUGGAUGGGAACUGCGGCCCAAUCCUCCUGCUAUCACAUCAACAGACCACAUCUACCAGCCGAAAUGUGGUCCCCUGGCCACACCCCCUUUUCGUCAUCUAACUGCUCCCUGACUUUCUUCUUCCAAAUGACAAGGGCUUUUAUUUUAUUUGGUCAUUUAUAGUUUUUACAAUAAUGCUAAAUUAACAUUCAGAAUUCUGACAAAGAAAAAAAAAUAGCAGAUAAACCAAAAGCACAGCAUUUAUGUUAUGAUUUUUAUCACUAAUUAUUUUAUUAUCAUACUUAAACUAUUUCUUUAAACAUUAUUUUUAAAUUAUUACAUUACUUUAUUAUCAUUAAUUAGUUUUGAUUGGUGUAAAAUUUGCUUAACAUAAAUUUAACCAUUCUCAAGCGACUCAGUGGCAUUUGGUACAAUCGCAAUGUUGUGCGACCAUCACCUCUAUGGAAUCCCAAGCCAUUUUCAUCAGCCCCAAAGGAGCCCCCAUACCCACUGGCAGUCCCCCUCCCCCCUUCCUUCUUCUCCUUGGCCUCUGGCAACUAUUAACCUGAUUUCUGUCCCUAUGGAUUUACCUGUAUUCGAUAUUUCAUACGAAUGGAAUCACACAAUAUGUGAUCUUUGUGCCUGACUUUUUCGUUAAUUAUUUUAAAGCACCGUUUUCUACUUUAAGAAGUAGAUAAAGUGGAAAACAUUAAACUUAGUAGGAUUAUUAAGUGUUCACUCCUUAGUAGACUUUCAUAUUCAAGGGGGUGGUGGUAUUUUAUUUAUUCUUUUAAAAUAAAUUUGUUUAUUUA